RNAcentral lists this long non-coding RNA (782 nucleotides) under Marmota monax (woodchuck). The stretch from base 84 to 152 matches the Rfam family "tRNA". Lineage: Eukaryota; Metazoa; Chordata; Mammalia; Rodentia; Sciuridae. The record is from RNAcentral.
GGCCAGGCCUUUAAACCAUUUUGCUAAGAGUUGCAAAAGUGAAAUGAAGGAAAAUGUAAAUACAAAAUACAAACCAAGGGGCUGGGGUUGUAGCUCAGUGGUAGAGCGCUUGCCUGGCACGCACGAGGCACUGGAUUUGAUCCCCAGCACCACAUAAAAAUAAAUAAAAUAAAGGUAUUGUGUCCAUCUACAGCUAAAAACAUUAAAAACAAAAAAACCCUGACAAAAUACAAACCAAAUUUUGUUUUAGAAACAUGUCUUCUAGAACAUACUAAAUCAGUAAUUGUAUGUGACUUCCAUUAUCUUUACUGUAAUUAAAUUUGUGUAGUAUCUUAAUGAUCCAGUUCUAGCCACACUAUAGGAAUCUAAAACUUUGGUGGCAAGGGAUUAUUACACUGUGCUGUUCUGCAUAGUAACAUGAUAUAAUGCCAGUUCUGGCUCAAAAGUUAUUUGGUGGUCUAGAAAACAGUGCUUGGGAAUAUUUUAAAACCUCUAUUACAUAUUUCCCUUUGGGAAUAAUUCUAUUGUCACACAACUGGGAUGGUAUUUUUAUUUUUCCUGUAGUACUGGGGUUUGAAUCCAGGGGGGCUCUACCACCGAGCUACAUUCCUGGCUCUUUUUUUUUAAUUUUGAGACAGGGUCUCCCCAAGUUGCUGAGGCUGGUCUCUAAUUGGGAUCCCUUUGCCUCCCAAAUAGGUGGGAUUAUAGGCGUGUGCCUACCUGUUAUUCUUGUUUUUAGAGAAAUGUAUAGGUCAUGGAAUUGAGCUGUUAAUUAUAAUUCA